UAGUGUGGCAAGGAUCAUGGGGAUCGACCCUGCUAUGGUCUCAACAAUACAUGCCGCAUAUAUGGGAGUGCCCAACACUACGCGAGUGAGUGCUCACAAAAUCAGAAUCAAACCAGACCUCCUAUUUAGGGCAGAGCAUAUAACCUCACUCAGCAGGAUGCUGGAGCCAACCCGGACGUGAUACAUGGUAUGUACACUGUCUGCAAUCACCUCGCACAUGUUUUAAUUGAUACUAGUGUUUCACAGUCAUUUGUCUCACAUACUUUUGUAAAAUAUUUGAAUGUUUUACUUGAAAAACUUGAUUCUGUACUGUUUGUAUCUACUUCUAGGAGUAUGACACUAUUAGGAGAGAUUAUAUUUAAAGAUUG
This 368-nucleotide long non-coding RNA is filed under the name Carica papaya (papaya). RNAcentral's name for it is "long non-coding RNA (CPAP_LNC011173)". Lineage: Eukaryota; Viridiplantae; Streptophyta; Magnoliopsida; Brassicales; Caricaceae. The record is from RNAcentral.